Monodelphis domestica (gray short-tailed opossum) is the source of this 2842-nucleotide long non-coding RNA. Lineage: Eukaryota; Metazoa; Chordata; Mammalia; Didelphimorphia; Didelphidae. The record is from Ensembl.
UUGGCUACUUGGAGACAUGACACAUGAGGAGAGAAGGGGGAUGUCACCCAACAUCUACAGCCCGACCCAGGGCAGGCAGAGUGGUGGUCCCAAGGGGCCUUGGCAUCUAUCUAGAAGAGCCACAAUGGAACCAGAUAAAGAGAAAAACUCCAUUGCUGGCAGCUGGAGCCCCCGGAGCCACAGCAGAGAAGGAGGAGCGUCCCUGAGUGUCAGCUCAGACCCCUUCUCAGACUCCAGCACCCCCGCCUGCUCUGAGUUCAGUCCCAUCUAUUUCUUCUGAACCCCGACCUGUCAGGGCUCUGGGGAGGAGACUGCCGGUGCCAAGGCCACAUCGGGCAGCCGGAGAAGAAAGGUUUGCAGCGAGCCUGGCCUGGGGAAACCCGCCUUCUCCCUCAGCAGUCGCCAGGAGCCAUCACCCACGCUGUAGAGCACCGUGGUCAUCCGAUUGACCGUGUAGACCGUGUCCCCUCUGACCACGGCUGUAAAAAGCGCCCCCUUGCUAUUGACGAACUGGCCCGGGAGGGCCGUCCACUGCCCUGUGGCCAGGUUCAGGCAGUCGAUGGCGCAGUGAAGAAAGUCAUCGGAGGGCCCGUUACGGACCACGUAGAGGCUGUCUCGAUGGGCCACCAUGCAGUGGCCGUAGCUCUGAGGCCUCCUUAGGGAGGCCACGGGAAGCCAGGAGUCAGCCCCGGGCUUAUACUCGUACACCGCGGUGGUGUCGGCGGGCUGCCACAGACAGAUGAAGAGACGGCCGAGGGCUUGGGCACAAGGGACGCCGGCGGCGGGCUGGGGGAUGUCUGCUAUGAAGGUCCAGCAGCCAGAGGCAAAGUCGUACCUCUCCACUGACCUCAGGGGCACCCUCUGGAACUCUCCGCCGAUAGCGUAGAGGCUGCCCUCGUAGCCCACCAGAGCCACGUCAUAGCGAGCCUGGUGGGGGCUGGGGAACUCAUGCCAGGUCCCCCGGUCUGCGUCGUAGCAGAAACCCGGCUCCACGACUUCCUUGUUGGCCCCCCGGACGCCCCCCACGAUGUACAGCUUGUUCUCCAGGGUGGUGACUCCGGCCAGCAAGGUGCUGGCCUCCACGGGCAGGGACGACAGAGUCCGCCACACGUCGUCCUUCUCGUCCAGGGUCGUCAGGAGGCUCAGAGGAGAGGGAUAUCAUGUAAAGCGCCCUGUUGUUCAUCCUUCCUCUUGGAAGAGGACCUCACAGGGUGACAUCUUCCCUUGAGAGCGAAUUGGAUUUAAGAAGGGCAGAGCCGCACAAAGUCAUCAGCCCAGCUCUCUCUUCAAGAAUCAUCCAGGACCAGGGGCAGGGCAAAAGUCAAGAUGAUGGCUGAUGAUCCAGAAUGCAGUGGAUGACCUUGGCAUCUCUGAUGUCCAACCAAGCUCUGAGUGCUCCACAGUGCCUUCAUAGUCUUGGAGCAAAUUGUUCUCAUCUGUCACAUACAGAUGUCUAUCAUCAUCAUCAUUAUUACCUAGAAAUAUGCCUACAGUGGAGAAGGGCAAAUCACCAGACUAUCACAGUUUAACAAAAAUCCUAUAGGAAAAUCUAAUUCCUUUAGCUUUCUCUUUAUGCUCUGGGGGACCACUGGUUCUGGAGUCAGAAGACUUGAGUUUGAAACUCAUCUCUAAAUGGUCACUAGCUUUGUGACCUUGAAUAAGUCACUUAACCUCUACUGGCCUCAUUAUUUUUCUUUCUAAAUAAGGGAGUUGAACUAAAUACACUCUGAAUUCCCUUCCAACUCUAGACCCAUAAGUCUAAAUGUGCUCUCCUGGGGGGACAUCAGGCAGCUUGGGCAAUUAAGUGGCAUGGUGUUUAGAGUGUAAGGUUAGGGGUCAAGAAGAAUCAUCUUUCUGAGUUCAAAACUGGCCUCAGAACUUACUGGUUGUGUGAUCCUGGGUAAGUCACUUAACUCUCUGUCUCAGUUUCCUCAUCUGCAAAAUGAGCUGGGGAAGAAAACAGCAAUUGUUGGUCAUGAUUAAACAAUGAUAAGAGGGGGCAUCUUUUUUAGAAGAGAGUCACUACCAUGGCAUAUAACUGUGGUGGUGAACCUAAGGCACAUAUGCCAGAAGGGACACUCAGAGCUCUCUCUUGGGGGCAUACCUGCUAUUGCCCCAGCACAGAGUUUGCCAGAGUUCAUUACUAGAAAACCAGAGGGACAUGGGGCUGGGCUACUCCCCUCCCCUUCCCCAUGCAUGCCUUAGGAUGUCAUCUACCCUUCUAAAAGGUUUGCCAUCACUGGCAUAUAAUGAGGAUUAUUAAUAUUAUUAGCCAUCUCCCAUCUAUCUAUCUCUCAUUAAAAUUUGUUAAAUUGGGGGUAGCUAGGUGGCUCAGUGGAUUGAAAGCCAGACCUUGAGAUAGGAGGUCUUGGGUUCAAAUCUGACCUCAAACACUUCCUAGCUGUGUGGCCCUGGGCAAGUCAUUUAACCCCAAUUGCCUACCCCUUACCAGUUUUAUGCCUUGGAUGCAAUUCACAGUAUUGAUUCUAAGAUGGAAGGCAAGAGCUUUUUUUUUUUAACUUAUUAAAUUUUCCUUCUGGUUUAGAAAUCAUUAUUUGGUGAACAUAGGGGGUUUAAGUCAAUGCACAAUGCCUGAGCACUUCUGGGCGAAUUGAUAAAUAUCUCAUUUCUACCCUUCUAAAAGGAUCAGGAUGAUCCUGUGUGAAUCUUAAAAACUACUCAGACUGUACUUUAGAAGAUUUUAUUUAGUUAUUCCCUUAUUGUAACAAUGGAGAUACUUGGUCUAACAAGAAUCAGGAAUGUAUUGGGAACUUUUAAAAUUACUCCACCCUAAUUAGACAUACUUUAGGGGAAAAUAAAGUUGUAAACUCCUGAUUGAACA